RNAcentral lists this long non-coding RNA (261 nucleotides) under Glycine max (soybean). RNAcentral's name for it is "long non-coding RNA (GMAX_LNC002975)". The record is from RNAcentral. Lineage: Eukaryota; Viridiplantae; Streptophyta; Magnoliopsida; Fabales; Fabaceae.
UUUUUCGUCAUAGUUUUUUCUUUUCCUAUAGAAACCCAAAGUUGUCUCAGUAAAACUACAAUCCCAAACUUGUUAACCGUUGGAUUGUCGUGAAAUUUUGAUAUGUGGUUUGAGAUUAAUUUCCAAACAUUUUCACUGUUGGGGUUUGCAAAAUAAUGUUUGUGGAUGGAGAAAUACUCAUUACAUGUAGACAGUGGAAUGAAGGUUUCAAUCCCUUCUCAUCUCUCUAACGCUUGGAAACCUUAUCAGAGCAAUCAAAGG